AAAAUAUUAUAUCACUUUUAAUUUACAGAUUAGUUUUUGUUGAUCAGAAUUUGUUGUACAAAUAGGUUCUUUGCUGUUUGGCUUACCUUCUGCAAGAAGAAAAAGCCCAAACUUUGAAAGAUGGAAGUUUUCUUCUCUCAUCGAAUGUGGGCUCAUUAUGUUUGCCAAGGAAUGAAGAAGCAGAGUUAACACCUAUACUUUUGGGUAUUUUGAUAUUUGUGUACUUGUGUUGUCACAUAUUUUUACUCCUCUGGAGUCAAUCUAUUUUAUGUAUGCAAAUUCCUUUCCCAUGUUAAUUUUAUGCAUUUUAAAGAAAUCUCUGUUUAGAGUGUUAUUUGUAAUAAUAAUGUGUUCCAGGUUUUAUUGUUGUUGUUUUUUUACUGGUGGAAAAUAAGUUCUUGCAGUUUAAUGGGGACCCAUGACACUAUCCAGACUUGGAAAAUGAAAUGAAAAUUCUUUGAUUUUAACCUGAUAGUGGUCUUUAUGAUAAUCCCAAUGCCACAGCAUAAAUUCAGAGCAAUAACAUGUACCUUUCUCAAUGUCUAUCAAAAUGGCAUAAUAAACUGAGAAUUGGCCCAUUUUAAAGAAGAGUUCAAGUGCUUGUAAUCAAAGUAAUCAAUAAAAGUUGAUUAGAUAUAAAUAAUGGAACAGAGUUCUCACUGUUCUCAUAUCCACUCAUUAAUUCAGACUUUUCUCAUUAUUAUAGAUUAUAAAAUCAUAAUUAUAAUUUAUAAAUACUUUAGAUCAAAUGAAAUAAUAUUUUCCUCUAAUAACUUUAUACAAAUCAUUCUAUGCUAACCUAGUACAUACCUUAUUCCUCAGACUAUUGAAGCUGAAGGUUAGUAACUCAUACAUUCACUCCAUCUUCAUGUAAAUACAAAUCAAACUUAUUUACAAUGAUUAAAAUACAGAUGUUAAGAGACAAAGCUAAUCAGGUUUUCUGCAUGUAGCUGCUGUGUUUAGAGUUGCUCAAAUUGACUUGAGGUAGACUGAAAGCAAUUUUCUCUAACAGGCCUAUGAAAUUCUAUUUUAAAGUCAAACAGGAUUUUUUUCAAUAAACUAACACUUUCUUCUGUGUGGUAUUUUCCUCCAUGAGUUUUUUCUUCUGUGCAGCUGCCUUGGUGAUCCCUCCAUCUGAACUUCUCUUUCCUUCCAUCUUCAUUUAUCUCAAAACACAGAUCCAAAUCGACUAUAUUUUUUUCUGACUUUUUGUUUGACUUGAAGAAAAUUCAUCUCUACUUCCUUUUGGACUUACCAUUACAGCUUUUUGUCAACUGAUCAUACCUUCCCUUUCAGAGUGGAAGCUUAUAGGUGGGAUGAAUUUUUCAUCUGCUCAUUAAGCAGACCAGCAGUGCUCAGUGUGGGCUUUAAGCAGAGUAGACCAUCUUUAGUGACUGAAUGAAGAAUGCGAUUUUACUCUCCUCCCAUAGUAAGUUAUGUAUGUCAAAAAAUGAAUCAUUAGCUAUCUUCCAAUAAUUAUUCUUAGGGAUUUCUCUCUUAAUUAAUAAUGAUCUUUCUUUCUUCUUCAGCGUAACAUUGCUUUAAAAAAUGCUUCAUGAGAAAUGGCUAAAAAAGGGAGAAAACAUAUUUCAAAUUAUAGC
Molecule: long non-coding RNA, 1601 nt
Organism: Canis lupus familiaris (dog)
Lineage: Eukaryota; Metazoa; Chordata; Mammalia; Carnivora; Canidae
Exons: 3
Source: RefSeq, a predicted model, not a curated record